RNAcentral lists this ribosomal RNA (807 nucleotides) under uncultured Sphingobacteriia bacterium. Its description in RNAcentral is "bacterial SSU rRNA". It matches the Rfam family "Bacterial small subunit ribosomal RNA", at positions 66 to 867 of the family's 1533-position model. The record is from RNAcentral. Lineage: Bacteria; Pseudomonadati; Bacteroidota; Sphingobacteriia.
GGGGCAGCAGGGGUGUAGCAAUACACUCGCUGGCGACCGGCAAACGGGUGCGGAACACGUACGCAACUUACCCAAAACUGGGGAAUAGCCCGGGGAAACCCGGAUUAAUACCUCGUAACAUAAUGAAGUGGCAUCACUUUAUUAUUAUAGCUCCGGCGGUUUUGGAUGGGCGUGCGCCUGAUUAGGUAGUUGGCGGGGUAACGGCCCACCAAGCCUACGAUCAGUAACUGGUGUGAGAGCACGACCAGUCACACGGGCACUGAGACACGGGCCCGACUCCUACGGGAGGCAGCAGUAAGGAAUAUUGGUCAAUGGACGCAAGUCUGAACCAGCCAUGCCGCGUGAAGGAUGAAGGUCCUCUGGAUUGUAAACUUCUUUUAUAUGGGAAGAAAUUCCCGCAUUCUUGCGGGAUUGACGGUACCAUAGGAAUAAGCACCGGCUAACUCCGUGCCAGCAGCCGCGGUAAUACGGAGGGUGCAAGCGUUAUCCGGAUUCACUGGGUUUAAAGGGUGCGUAGGAGGGCAGGUAAGUCAGUGGUGAAAUCUCCAAGCUUAACUUGGAAACUGCCGUUGAUACUAUCUGUCUUGAAUACCGUGGAGGUGAGCGGAAUAUGUCAUGUAGCGGUGAAAUGCUUAGAUAUGACAUAGAACACCAAUUGCGAAGGCAGCUCGCUACACGAAUAUUGACUCUGAGGCACGUAAGCGUGGGGAUCAAACAGGAUUAGAUACCCUGGUAGUCCACGCCCUAAACGAUGGAUACUCGACAUACGCGAUACACAGUGUGUGUCUGAGCGAAAGCAUUAAGUAU